ACUCGUGCAUUAGUCGUCAUGAUGGAACUUGAGGGAGAGCUCCUUGAAACUUCGCUGCGCACAAAGCAUGCUAACUUUAGAUUCAAAGGUAAAAGGUCUCUAUGUUCAUUUGUGCAUACGAAUCUGAAUCUGAAUCAGAUUCCUCUUGGCCAGGCCUGGUAUGAAAAAUCAGAGUACACAUCACAAGAAACAAGGAAAAGAUGACACUUUUCUUUAUCUUGUCCAAAUCUAUG
This 233-nucleotide long non-coding RNA is filed under the name Medicago truncatula (barrel medic). Its description in RNAcentral is "long non-coding RNA (MTRU_LNC002630)". The record is from RNAcentral. Lineage: Eukaryota; Viridiplantae; Streptophyta; Magnoliopsida; Fabales; Fabaceae.